RNAcentral lists this transfer RNA (73 nucleotides) under Camelus bactrianus (Bactrian camel). It matches the Rfam family "tRNA". Rfam says of the family: Transfer RNA (tRNA) molecules are approximately 80 nucleotides in length. Their secondary structure includes four short double-helical elements and three loops (D, anti-codon, and T loops). Lineage: Eukaryota; Metazoa; Chordata; Mammalia; Artiodactyla; Camelidae. The record is from Rfam by way of RNAcentral. RNAcentral also lists the same sequence under 2 other names.
GAGGGUAUAGCUCAAGUGGUAGGGCGCAUGCUUAGCACUCACGAGGUCCUGGGCUCAAUCCCCAGUACCUCCU